RNAcentral lists this ribosomal RNA (319 nucleotides) under uncultured eukaryote. Its description in RNAcentral is "SSU rRNA". The stretch from base 40 to 319 matches the Rfam family "Eukaryotic small subunit ribosomal RNA", at positions 680 to 961 of the family's 1831-position model. The record is from RNAcentral.
AGUUCUGCCAGGUGCCACCUGUCCGCCCCAGUGGUGACCUUUUGGUGCGCAUUUGGUCCUUUCAAGGGGAGUUUUUUUGCACUUAAUUGUGUGGUGCGGGAUCCUUGACUUUUACUUUGAGGAAAUAAGAGUGUUCCAAGCAGGCUCUCGUCGUGCAUAGCUCAGCAUGGAAUAAUAGCAUUGGACCUCGAUUCUAAGCUGUUGGUUGCCAGAAGCGAGGUAAUGAUGAAGAGGGAUAGUUGGGGGCAUUCGCAUCUAACUGUCAGAGGCGAAAUUCUUGGAUUUGUUAAAGACGGACUACUGCGAAAGCAUCUGCCAU